AAAAUCCCUCAACUUUAAAAAUCGGGGGGGUUUGGUUCAAGUCCCUCUAUCCCCAG
This 56-nucleotide transfer RNA is filed under the name Allium longivaginatum. RNAcentral's name for it is "partial tRNA-Leu". Lineage: Eukaryota; Viridiplantae; Streptophyta; Magnoliopsida; Asparagales; Amaryllidaceae. The record is from RNAcentral.